This 468-nucleotide ribosomal RNA is filed under the name uncultured bacterium. Its description in RNAcentral is "partial 16S ribosomal RNA". It matches the Rfam family "Bacterial small subunit ribosomal RNA", at positions 28 to 507 of the family's 1533-position model. The record is from RNAcentral.
GACGAACGCUGGCGGCGUGCUUAACACAUGCAAGUCGAACGGAAAGGCUCUGCUUUUGUGGGGUGCUCGAGUGGCGAACGGGUGAGUAACACGUGAGUAACCUGUCCUUGACUUUGGGAUAACUUCAGGAAACUGGGGCUAAUACCGGAUAGGAGCUCCUGCUGCAUGGUGGGGGUUGGAAAGUUUCGGCGGUUGGGGACGGACUCGCGGUUUAUCAGCUUGUUGGUGGGGUAGUGGCUUACAAAGGCUUGGACGGGUAGCCGGCCUGAGAGGGUGACCGGCCACAUUGGGACUGAGAUACGACCCAGACGCCUACGGGAGGCAGCAGUGGAGAAUAUUGCACGAUGGGCGGAAGCCGGAUGCAGCAACGCCGCGUGCGGGAUGACGGCCUUCGGGGUGUAAACCGCGUGCGCCUGGGACGAAGCGUGAGUGACGGUAAUGGGUAAGGAAGCACCGGCUAACUACGUG